This is a long non-coding RNA of Gasterosteus aculeatus aculeatus (three-spined stickleback), 2049 nucleotides long. The record is from Ensembl. NCBI's taxonomy places the organism in Eukaryota, Metazoa, Chordata, Actinopteri, Perciformes, Gasterosteidae.
GUUUUUAAACUUCCGCAUCUGAAAAGAAUCCCCAAAUAUUUUGCAAAAGUCAUGAAAUUCUAUCUUUAGUCAUAUGAAGGGGGACGCCGGUGAGAAAACGUACUUUUGAAUAAAAAUCGAAAUUUUUUCUAAAUUGGAGUCAUAAGACAUUCUAAUGGCAGUAGUUGACACGGUACAGUGGUGUAGUGGUUAGCACUCUCGCCUCCCAGACAGAUGCCUCGGGUUCAACUCCACCCAGUGGUGCCUCUGUGUUAGGUGGUGUAGGCUAAGCCUGCAUGGGAUUCACUCCAUACUUGUAAAAGUAAUGAAAAAAUUUUUUUUAAACUUCCAAGUCUGAAAUAAAUGCCAAAAUAUUUGCAAAUGUCAUGAAAUUCUAUCUUGAGUCAUCUGAAGGGGGACGACGGUGAGAAAACCUACUUUUGAAUAAAAAUCCGAAUUUUUUCUAAAUUGGAGUCAUAAGACAUUCUAAUGGCAGCAGUUGACACGGUACGGUGGUGUAGUGGUUAGCACUCUCGCCUCCCAGACAGAUGCCUCGGGUUCAACUCCACCCAGUGGCGCCACUGCGUUAGGUGGUGUAGGCUAAGCCUGCAUGGGGUUCAGUACAUACUUCUAAAAGUGAUGGAAAAAAGUUUUUUUAAGCUUCAGAGUCUGAAAAGAAUGCCAAAAUAUUUUGCAAAAAGUCAUGAAAUUCUAUCUUUAGUCAUAUGAAGGGGCACGACGGUGAGAAAACGUACUUUUGAAUAGAAAAUCUGAAUUUUUUCUAAAUUGGAGUCAUAAGACAUUCUAAUGGCAGCAGUUUAUAUGGUACAGUGGUGAAAUUCUAUCUUUAGUCAUAUGAAGGGGGACGACGGUGAGAAAACGUACUUUUGAAUAGAAAAUCUGAAUUUUUUCUAAAUUGGAGUCAUAAGACAUUCUAAUGGCAGCAGUUUAUACGGUACAGUGGUGUAGUGGUUAGCACUCUCGCCUCCCAGACAGAUGCCUCGGGUUCAACUCCACCCAGUGGCGCCACUGUGUUAGGUGGCGUAGGCUAAGCCUGCAUGGGAUUCACUCCAUACUUGUAAAAGUAAUGGAAAAAAGUUUUUUAAAACUUCAGCAUCUGAAAAGAAUCCCCAAAUAUUUUGCAAAAAGUCAUGACAUUCUUUCUUUAGUCAUAUGAAGGGGGACGCCGGUGAGAAAACGUACUUUUGAAUAAAAAUCUGAAUUUUUUCUAAAUUGGAGUAAUUAGACAUUCUAAUGGCAGCAGUUGACACGGUACAGUGGUGUAGUGGUUAGCACUCUCGCCUCCCAGACAGAUGCCUCGGGUUCAACUCCACCCAGUGGAUCCUCUGUGUUAGGUGGUGUAGGCUAAGCCUACAUGGGAUUCACUCCACACUUGUAAAAGUAAUGGAACAUUUUUUUUUAAAACUUCAGUAUCUGAAAAGAAUCCCCAAAUAUUUUGCAAAAAGUCAUGAAAUUCUAUCUUUAAUCAUAUGAAGGGGGACGCCGGUGAGAAAACGUACUUUUGAAUAAAAAAAGAAAUUUUUUCUAAAUUGGAGUCAUAAGACAUUCUAAUGGCAGCAGUUGACACGGUACAGUGGUGUAGUGAUUAGCACUCUCGCCUCGCAGACAGAUGCCUCGAGGUUCAACUCCACCCGGUGCGCCACUGUGUUAGGUGGUGUAGGCUAAGCCUGCAUGAGGUUCACUCCAUACUUGUAAAAGUAAUGGAAAAAACUUUUUUUAAACUUCCGCGUCCGAAAAGAAUCCCAAAAUAUUUUGCAAAAAGUCAUUAAAUUCUAUCUUUAGUCAUAUGAAGGUGCAGGAUGGUGAGAAAACCUACUUUUGAAUAAAAAUCCGAAUUUUUUCUAAAUUGGAGUCAUAAGACAUUCUAAUGGCAGCAGUUGACACGGUACAGUGGUGUAGUGGUUAGCACUCUCGCCUCCCAGACAGAUCCCUCGGGUUCAACUCCACCCAGUGGCGCCUCUGUGUUAGGUGGUGUAGGCUAAGCCUGCAUACUUGAAAUGAAAAAAACUUUAAGCCAUUUUUACACCACUACUCAGCAUGCGCCGGAAG